AGAGCCCCUUCUCACCUCAGUUCGCCUCUGUGAACAUCACCACCAACCAGGCAGCUCCGUCGGCAGUGUCCAUCAUGCAUCAGGUGAGCCGCACCGUGGACAGCAUUACCCUGUCGUGGUCCCAGCCGGACCAGCCCAAUGGCGUGAUCCUGGACUAUGAGCUGCAGUACUAUGAGAAGGUACCUAUGGGCUGGGUGCUGUCCCCAUCACCCACCUCCCUGAGGGCCCCUCUCCCAGGCUGAGGCCUGGGAGUUCUGCCCCACCGCAAGACGAGACGCAUUGGUGCAGCAGAAAGAGCACUGGCCUUGGGGUCAGGCUGCCUGGCUCCCAAUCCGGCUCCACUCCUCCCCACUGUGAGACCUCAGGCAGGUGCCUUGACCUCUCUGGAUCUAACUUUUCUGGUCUGGAGGAUCUGCCCAGCAAUCUCAGUGAAAUGCAACAGUCACAUCCCUUUCCCCACCACGACCCUUUCAUCUUGACCUCAGUGGCUUGAUGUUGUGAAAAACUGGGUUUCCAGAAAGCUGCACUUAUGAAGU
This 536-nucleotide small RNA is filed under the name Pongo abelii (Sumatran orangutan). Its description in RNAcentral is "processed transcript". The record is from RNAcentral. Lineage: Eukaryota; Metazoa; Chordata; Mammalia; Primates; Hominidae.